AUGCAGGGAGGGAGGGAUAAAAUCACAUGGACCCUAACUGCAGAUCAAAAAUUUCCUGUUGGAUAUUUAUAUAGAAGAUUUCUGUGGAAGACCAAAGUGCCAGCAAAAAUUAGAGUUUUCUUGUGGCUAGUCAACAAAAAGAGCAUCUUAACCAGAGAUAUUUUAUUGAAAAAAGGGUGGAAAGGAGGGAAGAGUUGUGUGUUUUGUGGAAAAGAUGAAUCGGUUGAUCAUCUGAUUUUCAAUUGUUCAGUAGCGUCUUUGCUGUGGGGGUUGAUGAGAUGUGUAUGUGGGCUUAGAACCACUCCCCUCAAUGUAAGAGAUUGUUUUGGGGGGUGGCUAGGCAGGUUUAGUAGGGAUGAUAGGAAGCUAGUAAUGGUGGGGAUAUCUGCUUUGUUCUGGGCCAUUUGGAACAGUAGAAAUGGAAUUAUAUUUGAAAAUAAAAGUAUAAAUGAUCCUUUUGCUAUAAUCAAACUAAUGAGUCACUGGUUGAUUGAUUGGCCUAUCUUGCAGACAAAGGAGCCGCAAAAAAAGGUGUUGGAGCUGAGAGCAAGACUGCUAGAGCGGGUAGCAAGUGAACUCUAUACAGCGAUGCAGGAGUGGAGAAUCAAUGUGGCAAGGCUGGAAGGAUUAAAAAACUCUGGCUCCUGCUGA
This 651-nucleotide ribosomal RNA is filed under the name Triticum aestivum (bread wheat). Its description in RNAcentral is "partial small subunit ribosomal RNA". Lineage: Eukaryota; Viridiplantae; Streptophyta; Magnoliopsida; Poales; Poaceae. The record is from RNAcentral.